RNAcentral lists this ribosomal RNA (443 nucleotides) under uncultured bacterium. RNAcentral's name for it is "partial 16S ribosomal RNA". It matches the Rfam family "Bacterial small subunit ribosomal RNA", at positions 338 to 795 of the family's 1533-position model. The record is from RNAcentral.
CCUACGGGGGGCAGCAGUGGGGAAUAUUGGGCAAUGGGCGCAAGCCUGACCCAGCAACGCCGCGUGAAGGAAGAAGGCUUUCGGGUUGUAAACUUCUUUUAUCAGGGACGAAGCAGGUGACGGUACCUGAUGAAUAAGCCACGGCUAACUGCGUGCCAGCAGCCGCGGUAAUACGUAGGUGGCAAGCGUUAACCGGAUUUACUGGGCGUAAAGGGCGUGCAGGCGGGCGUGCAAGUCAGAUGUGAAAACUAUGGGCUCAACCUAGGGACUGCAUGGGAAACUGGAAUGCUUGAGUGCUGGAGAGGGGAGUAGAAUUCCGUGUGUAGCGGUGAAAUGCGUAGAGAUACGGAGGAAUACCAGUGGCGAAGGCGGACCGCUGGACAGUAACUGACGCUGAGGUGCGAAAGCGUGGGGAGCAAACAGGAUUAGAUACCCGGGUAGUC